GUUAGGAAUAUUGGACAAUGGGCGCAAGCCUGAUCCAGCCAUGCCGCGUGAGUGAUGAAGGCCUUAGGGUUGUAAAGCUCUUUCGCCCGCGAAGAUAAUGACGGUAGCGGGAGAAGAAGCCCCGGCUAACUUCGUGCCAGCAGCCGCGGUAAUACGAAGGGGGCUAGCGUUGUUCGGAAUCACUGGGCGUAAAGCGCACGUAGGCGGACGUUUAAGUCAGAGGUGAAAGCCUGGAGCUCAACUUCAGAACUGCCUUUGAUACUGAACGUCUCGAGUCCGGGAGAGGUGAGUGGAACUGCUAGUGUAGAGGUGAAAUUCGUAGAUAUUAGCAAGAACACCAGUGGCGAAGGCGGCUCACUGGCCCGGUACUGACGCUGAGGUGCGAAAGCGUGGGGAGCAAACAGGAUUAGAUACCCCUGUAGUCC
RNAcentral lists this ribosomal RNA (425 nucleotides) under uncultured bacterium. RNAcentral describes it as "partial 16S ribosomal RNA". It matches the Rfam family "Bacterial small subunit ribosomal RNA", at positions 354 to 796 of the family's 1533-position model. The record is from RNAcentral.